This 763-nucleotide long non-coding RNA is filed under the name Nicotiana tabacum (common tobacco). RNAcentral's name for it is "long non-coding RNA (NTAB_LNC013450)". The record is from RNAcentral. Lineage: Eukaryota; Viridiplantae; Streptophyta; Magnoliopsida; Solanales; Solanaceae.
GCAGAUAUUGUUGUUGGUUCUGCUCAGAGGUUUGGAGUGCCUAUGGGUUAUGGAGGCCCUCAUGCGGCUUUCUUGGCAACUUCUCAAGAAUACAAGAGAAUGAUGCCCGGAAGAAUCAUUGGUGUCAGUGUUGAUUCUUCAGGGAAACCUGCUCUGCGUAUGGCAAUGCAAACCAGGGAACAGCACAUCCGCAGAGACAAGGCUACAAGCAACAUUUGUACAGCACAGGUACUGACUGAACUAAUGUUUCAUCAACUGUUUCAAAAAAUAUGUAUGCCAUACCGAUAUUUAUCCUCCUAGAUUCUCUGUUAUGCAACAUUCUUAUAAUGUAUUAGUAAGAAUUUUAAGCGGUUUGAAAAAUGUUUACUUUUCUGCUUGUAUGCGAUGUGUUGUAUAGACAUGAGCGGUAGGGAGUAACAAGAAACAACUAACUAGUUUGUUUUUCUUGCAAGAAAGUAUCUGUCUCUCAUUUGUGCAUUGGAAUGCUCUGAUGCACACGCUAUGCUACUUAUUUUCUUGCAGUGGUUUAUGAUAUUGUACAUUUCUUAUGUAGGCCUUGCUUGCGAACAUGGCUGCCAUGUAUGCAGUCUAUCAUGGACCGGAGGGGCUAAAAACCAUUGCCCAACGUGUUCAUGGUCUUGCCGGAACACUUGCUGCUGGGCUCAAAAAGCUAGGAACGGUAGAAGUUCAGGAUCUUCCAUUCUUUGACACUGUGAAGGUUAAGUGUGCUGAUGCAAAAGCAAUUGCUGAUGUUGCUUACAAG